Pan troglodytes (chimpanzee) is the source of this 12393-nucleotide long non-coding RNA. RefSeq lists it as uncharacterized. The transcript has 10 exons. The record is from RefSeq and is a predicted model, not a curated record. Lineage: Eukaryota; Metazoa; Chordata; Mammalia; Primates; Hominidae.
UAUAUGAAUAUAUAAAUACUUAGAUAUAUACAUACAAACUAUUGUCUUAAGUGAUCAAAACACCUUUUAAAUUUAAUAUAGGGAAGCAACAUCAAAAGGUAUAAUUUAGCAGAGCUUCUAAAUGGAAGCUAAAGUCCCGAAUGUUCCUCUUGAUUUGGUGAUUUACGACUUCUGUUACUCUAAAUAAGUUACUUUAUUUUCUUGGAUAUUCAGUUUCUUUACUGGUAAAAUGAAAAGCAUAAUUUUUUCUUAUCAUGUGUCAGUACAGUUGUGAAAAUUUGAGAAAGUAUAAAAUAGAGGCUUUUGUGUUAUUACACAAUUUACACUGUUUAUACAUUAAAUCGACUAUUAUAAGUUCAAUAAAAACAAAUCUCCAUUUUAUCAACUAGUAAUCUUUUCACAGAUAUUAUUAGCUAAUUAAAGUGUAUGUCCACCUGGUUAUAUCUUCCCACAUACAAUAUUCGAAAUUUAAGUUACCAUCCUGACUUCUUUGAAAAUACUCACAAAUCUUUUUUCUUGAUACAUUAUAUAGAUAUUAUUGCACAUGCAUAUUAUUUAUAUUUAUAUUAUUCAUUAUUUUACCAGACAUUUAAUAGAAUUUAAAUAAACUGCAGUGCUUUGGAAAAUUUCUGUUUCUUCAGAAAACUGGAGAAACUUCUGAGAACGCUGCAUUCGUAAUAAAUUACUGAUUUUUCCUUCCCCAAGAAGAGAAAUGAAUACAUAAAGGUUUGAGGAACAUCCUUUCCAUUGGAUAAUCUUUACCUUUCUACUUGUUCUCUUCCAAGUAUUCUAAGUAGUAGGCUCUUAGACACGACCUUGACGUCAGCAAAUGAUAUUAUUCCAUGUGUGAAUAUGCUCCAGAUUCCUCUCUCUGCUAUUACAAUGUGAUUUUCUCACGUUUUAAGGCAAAGGGACAUUUUGAAUGUGCUCAGACACAUUUGCCCUAUUCAGAGGACAGAAAUUGUUGAGCUUGAGGGAAAUCUUUUUUUUCCUAUAUAGCCUGCCCAAUCCAGAAAUGUUCAGCUGCAGAUCCUGGCCUCUCCACACUUAAUUCACAAGCCCAGAAGUGCAAAUGCUUCUUUAACAAGGGAAUGCGACCCUGCUGCUAAACUGAAAUAUGAGAACAUUUCUACUCUUCUUAUAAUUUUCUAGGUUAGUUCAUAUCUAUGCCCUCAGUGUUUUUGUUUAUUUGUUUGUUUGUUUUUUGUUUUGUUGGUUUGUUUGUUUUUGAGACGGAGUCUCACUCUUUUUGCCCAUGCUGGAGUGCGGUGGCACGACCUCGGCUCACUGCAACUUCUGCCUCCCGGGUUCAAGCGAUUCUCCUGCCUCAGCCUCCCGAGUAGAGUAGCUGGGAUUAUAGGCGCCCGCCACCACACCCGACUAAUUUUUGUAUUUUUAGUAGAGACGGGGUUUCACCAUGUUGGCCCGGCUGGUCUCGAUACCUGACCUCAGGUGAUCCGGCCCGCCUCAGCCUCCCAAAGUGCCAGGAUUACAGGCGUGGGCCACUGUUGCUCAGCCGGCCCUCAGUAUUUUUAUUUCAGAUAUUUAAUAAGACAUUUUGGUUAAUUAUUCUAUAGCUAAAUAAAUUCUCCUUUAAUUUGCCCAUCACUGUUAACUUAAACAGUUUUUCUUUUCCCUUCAAUAAAUGAUAGCUUGCUUUCAUCUUUGGUCAUAUUUGGUGUUGAAGCCUGUUUUCCAUAAUAUUGAUAAAAGUGAGUAAAAUGCAGAGAUGCUGCAGGUUUAGUUUAGUUUGGCUUUAAGGAUAAGAGUAAGAGGCGGAAGGGGGUUCAAAGCUUUUCAUUUUAUGGUACUGCUUUGUAAAAUGGACCUUGCCUGUCAUGCAAUGUCAUAACGGCAUGAUUGGCCUGCUUCUAUUUUCCUAUAGACAUGGCAGGAGAAAUGAUUGAGAGCUUUUCCAGUUUGGCAUGGAAACAAAGCAAAGCAAUUUCAGUGUGGUAACAAGACUAAGGAGGAGACAGAUGCUGUGCGGGCAACAGUACCAGAGCUAAGGGAUGAGAAACUUCUCCAUAAGAUGUCCCUUUAUUGCUCCAGCAGCUAUUAUGGGCUGCGUCUCCCCAAGCAUGGCAGCUCACCACUGUGGAACCCUAAAUAGAAUGACACUCAGUGUUGAAUGGCAAGGCCUCUGGUCAUAAAUAAGAUAAGCCGAAAGACAUUUGAUGGUUAUCACAGAAAUGGACUUUCCUUACUUGGAAUUUUCCUGCCUAAACAUCCACAGGGAAAAGCUACAUGUUGGGACUUCAUAAUUCAUUUCAAGCAUUUUGUUUGCAAAUCUCAAAGCUUGAUUUUUUUUCUAAGUUUGCAGGUACUUCAAUAUUUGUAUUUCCAUUUCAGAUUUUUAAAAUUCAUUGCUUUAAAGAACUACAUCUGAAGAGCAAUGUUUAGCUCUUUAUUUAUUAUUGUAUUUUAUUUAUCUAAAGACCAAUAUGUUGCUUCCUACUGAUAACAUCAGAUGAAUAUUAUCAUGAAGUUAAAUUAACUUCUUCAACAGUGAGCUCUGUGGAAUAGAUGCACCUUUCCUUCUAGUGUGACCAUUUGAGAUGGAACAGACCAGAGGAUUUUCCAUCCCAUUACUAGAAUAUGUUUCUGUGACAAAGUUCUAGCAAGUUUUAGUCCAUAAUCCAUUUCAAGAGAAAUUCCCAUUUCUGUUUUUUUUUCAAUUAUGUCUUUUAACUUAUAUUUUCUGGAUCUUAUUCCAUUUGAGUGAAAUGUGAAUAGAUGAAGAGAUGUGGUAUCAGAGCUCAUUAAACAAAACUUUUCUGGUAACAUGUUUCAUCCUAUUUAGUUAUUUGAAUUCAGAUAAGCUUAAAGGAAAAGAACAAAACAAAGCUAUAAAGAAAAUUGGAAGUUAUUCAUUGUCAUUCGUCAUAAACAAGCUCAGAGGCUGGGAUAUUUGGCACGAUGACAAUGAAACUGCAGGAAAUUGAGCACACUCCAAUGUUGGUGAGGACGGUCCAUCCAUUCUGCAUAUGUCUGCGUCUUUGGGACUUAGAGUCUGGCAAGUAGAAGAGGGAUUUCAUCUUGUUGGAAAAUAUAAGUUGGAAAAUCAACCCACAUGAAAUUGCAGAAGCCAAGGGGGUCUCACUCUCUCAUCCAGGCUGGAGCAUGGGAGUACAAUCAUAGCUCACUGCAACCUUGAACUCCUGGGCUCAAAGGAUCCUUCCAGUUCAUCCCCCCUGAGUAGCUUGGAUUACAGGCAUACACCACCACGCCUGGCUGAGUUCUCAAUCUUAAAAUAUUGAUUUAGUUCUCAUGUAAAUGAAUUAGCUCCUGUGGUAGUGGGUUGUUAUAAAGCCAGGAUGCCCUUCGGUUUUCUCCUCUUCACACAUGUCUACUUUCCCAUUGCCAUUCUCCACCAUGUUGUGAUGUGGCAUGAAAGUCCUGUCCAGAAGCCAGGGCCAUGCCCUCGAAUUUCUCAGUCUGUGGAACCAUGAGCUAAAUAAACUUCCUUUAAAAUAAGUUUUUAGGUAUUCUGCUAUAAGCAAUACAAAAUGUACUAAUACAGCAUUGUUUUAAAUUUGUAUGAAUUUCUUUAUUGUGUGGCUUAAUAGAAAGCUAGAUUCUUAGGUUUGCUUCUCUAAACAUUCUGUUAUAAUCUUACACAUUAAACUCUGGAAAACUCUGUUGUACACUUGUGAGAGAAUGAGAGUGAAACAGAGAAAUUAGCAUCUUGGUUUAUUAUAAAAAUAGUUUGGAUCUUUUGAAACCUUUAAAGAGUCUUAGGAAACCCUGUGGUUCUCUGGCCGUGCUUUGAGAACCACUGGUAUAGGGUAAAUCCACUGCCAAGUUAAUCUUUUGUUAUGCUAUAUGUUUUAGCUUGUUUUCAUCUACUACUCUCUGAAUUUGAGCUUCAGCAUUUCAACGUACUGAUUAUGAUUUUCACUUUUUUUUUUUUUUGAGACAAAGUUUUGCUCUUGUUGCCCAGGCUGGAGUGCAGUGGCGUGAUCUCGGCUCACUGCCAACCUCCGCCUCCUGGAUUCAAGUGAUUCUCCUGCCUCAGCCUCCUAAGUAGCUGGGAUUACAGGCACAUGCCACCACGCCUGGCUAAUUUGUGUAUUUUUGGUAGAGACGGGGUAUCAGCAUGUUGGCCAGAUGGUAUCGAACUCCUUAUUUCAGGUGACCUGCCCACCUCGACCUCCCAAAGUGCUGCCCACCUUGACCUCCCAAAGUGCUGGGAUUACAGAUGUGAGCCACUGUGCCUGGUUGAUUAUGAUUUUCAAAUACUAGGUGACUCCUGCCUAGCAUUGGUAUAUUUUAUGUAUAUUAAAUGUCCAUGAAUUUUAAAAAAUUUAAAUGAAAGCACAUGACAGUCUCAAGUACUCCAACACUUGAGAAGCUACAAUAUGGUGUACAGUGCACACAAGGUGAUUUGAGCAUCAGAUAAAUUGAGACAGACAGAUAGAAAGUGUUAGAUGUAUAUGUAACUAUAAGCAUCUAUGUUUGGCUUAAUAAAAACACAAUGUUUCUUAUGUAUUGUCCUGUAAUGGAAAUUAACAGUUUAAUACUUUUCUAUUAACCAAUCUACCUGGACUCAUUUUUUUUUUUAUUUUUAAUAAUCUGCAGAGGUGGGUAUAUUGAUUAAAUUAGUAAUGGCAACACUACUCUUUCACAAUUUUGAAAAUAGUGUCUAGGUUGGAAUAGCCAACAAAAUAGUAGAUAUUUAUAAUUUUUGCAAUGCUUUUAAAUGUGUUAAUUGUUAAUACUUGUUUGACUAGUUGACUUUAUUGUGGCUGAAAUGCAGGCUCACAAGUAGUAAGAGGCACUUACUGUUUCUAAGUUCUAUUAUGGGAUGUGACGGUCCUUUAGUUUUCCCAAGGUCUGACAGGCAUGGGGGCUUUUAAUUUCACAUGGGAUGCUUACAAAUUGUCUUCUAUUUACACAUAGCUUUUGAAGUAAUUAUUUUCCUUUUUAGUGUCCAAAUCUCUCAAGCAAAGAGGCUUUUUAGUAAAAAUUGUGAUUUAAAGAGAAUAAUUGUUUCAGAAGAGUAGUGAAAAAUGUUCAAAUUGACAUUUUGAAGGAAAGCACAAACAAAAGAAAUUAAUUUUAUUUCAAGAAAAGAGAAAAAGUUUUUUCCCAUAACAUAGUACACAUUUUGGCAAAGAAAAUAGCAAGUAUGAGUACAUACAUGUGUAUGUGUGUGUGUGCCCUUUUCAAGAGAAGUUGACACUAAGAUGAUGCUUCAGAUGCCAGAGUGAAGAGGUUUCUAGUUGAAACAUUUAAUUAUUAUCCAAAUAGGGUAGAGAAACGAAGUCUAAUUUCUUUCCUGUAUUUGGAAGUGCUUGGUGUGGAUAAGAAGUCUGAGUGACAGCUGCAACUGCCAAGCAACCUCAUACAAUGGGAGUAUUCUGCCUCUCAGUUACGGAAGGAGACUCUAAGGCCUUCUCCCACAUUUGGAGGCAAGGAGUCCUUUUCUUUGGCAUCUUCCAUUAGCAGUUUUAAGAGAGUUUGUUAACCAUUUUCAAAAGUAUGUUCGUAAAGAUGGUGAAUGCUAAAGAAUGACUUAAAAUAUAUAUACAUUAACAUAGAGCAAACUAUAACAAAGUAGGGUAAAUAAAUGCAUUUUAAAUUAAUAACUUUUUCUUUUUUUCUCCUUUUUUUGAUCAGGUGCAUUUAUUCCUUUUGUUGUUGUUGUUGUUACUACUUCUGCUUUUGUUUUUGAGACAGGAUCUCAUUCUCUCACCCAGGCUGGAGUGCAGUGGCGUGAUCGCGGCUCACUGCAGCCUGGACCCCCCGGGCUCAAGUGAUCCUCCUACCUCAGGCUCUUGACUAGCUGGGACUACAGAUACAUGCCACCACACCUGGCUAAUUUUUUGUAUUUUUGGUAGAGAUGAAGUUUCACUAUGUUGCCCAGGGUGGUCUCGAACUCCCAAGCUCAAGUGGUCCACCUGCCUCGGCCUCCUAAAGUGCUGGAAUUAUAGGUUUCACUGAUGGAAAAAUUGAGAAGGAAGAUCUGAUGAAACAGCAAGUCCUUAAGAGUGGGAGCCAGAAGUUUAAGUUGUAACAGGUUUUGGAUAAGAUUCAGAACUUAGAGGAUAACGAACUGCAGAAAAAUUCUUUGGAAGAUAAUGACUAGAGAAAAAUUCUGGGUCAAAGGCAGCUAUUGUGGUGCAUAGUUAUUCAGAUUUCAAAUUUGAAAAGAAAUCAUUGUUUCAUAGGCCGAAAGGUGAGCCACUGGUAUCUGUCAUCAGCAAACAGGAAACAUGAAGAAGUACGUUUAUUCUAUAGGUUGCAACACACAGUACAAAUAUACCAUUAGAAUACCUAAAAUGCAAGAUGAAUCAGUCCCGUGAAUUGAAACUUUGAUUUUGUUCUUGAGCUAGUAAAGUUUACAGAGUUCUAUGAGGAAGGACAUCUGUAAAAUAUCUUACAAUACGUAGUCUCCUAUUUUGAGAGAAAGGGAAAGUAUCUUUGCACUGUGAAUAUACCCUUUGUGUUAUUAACUGUGAGGACAUGACAAGGCUAAACAAUUGCUUCUUUCUUGUCAAAGUUUCGUUUGCUUUGGUUAGUGCCAUUGUUUGAGAAAAUUAAACAAGUUUCCAUGUUUUAGGCUUCUUGACGUUUUUUGAUGUUCCACUUAACUGCAAUGGAAUAACUCGAUGGAACAAUUCAAGGCAGCUGUGCUCUGAUCCUCAGUUGCCCUCCAAGGAUAAGAUGACACAUUUGAUAAACACAUUUCCUUUAACACCAAGUUCUCCAGGUCAGGCAGGCAUAGCAUAUAGAUGAAACUGAUCUGAGCCUUCAUCCUGAGGGAGAAGAGGGUUAGAGAUGAAGGUAAACCUGGAUCCCGGUUUUAACCCUGCAACAUACUAGUCUCCUGAACUUGAGUAUUUGUAAGUACUGAAUCUGAGAUUAGCUUUGCCCAUGGCUUUCCACACAUUGAUAUUUGAUGGGACCUGACCCUUAAAUAAUCCCAAGUCAUAGAAAAAGAAUUUCGUGGAAUAGUCGCACAGAGCAUUUGCUUACUCAGUUCUGUUGCCCAGGAGCCCAAAUGGUAGAGGGAGGAGAAUGUGGAUUCUGGAAUUAGGAAGACUUGAGCUCGAUUUCACCUUCUACCAUUGAACAACUGCUGAGUAAUGGAUAAAGCUCACAAAAGAAGAGAAGGGACAUGCUUCACUCAGGUAGGCAAUAUUGCUUCUUUAACCCCAGGUGCAGCUAUAGAAGCUUCCAAGUAUAUUAAGGUAAGAAGGCAUUUGAGAAUGGAGUUUAUGCUGCAGGUACCCACGUCUUCCUGCAUACUCCGGAGACUAGAUUUGGGUUUGAAUCGAUUCUGUGGCUUUCUUUUACAAAUUUCACUCCAGCCUAACAUUGUCUCAACAUUGUCCUCGCCCACUACCAAUAAUUUCCACUUUAGUAACAACAUUCAACUAUUCUCGAGAAUAGCUGAGCCUCAAAUUGGGUAACACCACCUCAUAGUGUCAUAGAACUGAGAUCCCGUGACCCUACCAACCUAUAGGUGUGCAGUGCAUCAGCUGCUGCAACUUGUUACCCAACUGCUGCCUCUGGUCAAUUAACAAAAAUAAACUUCUUUCAUAAAGGCAACUUGUUGGCAAAGAUUUUCUUACUUAGUAAGUCUUUCCACCUCUGGUAUUAUAACAGAGAGGCCAAAACAAAAUUAAAAUUAAGAUUGUCAUCAGUAAGUUCUCAGGGUUAAGUACGUAUACCCCUUUUGAGUUAUCUUUAAAACAACUUAAGCCAAAUCCGCCCUUAAAAAUCAUGGUUUGAAUUAAAUCUCAUGUCUCCCAACCUGCAAUCCAUGAUGAACAAGCUGAACUACAGCCUUAAACAACAGAGAAAUCCUUGGAACCAACAUUUAAUUAAAAAGACCAUUAGACGGUGCCUCAUUGGAAACACAGAACAUGCUUAAAUGAAUUUUUCAAUAUGUAGAUAAAUGUUUUACCAUUAGGGUUUCUUAAAGGAAGUAAAAAUUGGCAACUCAUUAAGAGUGUACAUAGGUACUAUAAACAGACAACAAAGUGCCUCUGGCAUGUUUCAUGAUUUAGACAUCAAAAGAAAAAGUCAUAAAAUCUACUUGCAGUAAAACAAAGUCCAUUUUUCCUCAACAAGGCUGGUAUCUAUUAGCUACCUCAUAUGUGGAGAAAGAAAAGUUACCAGUCCUUUAAUCAGAUAUAUCUGAAAUGUUUUGGGAAUAAAUAUGAAAUAGCGAAGAGUGUAUGUAUUUGAUGUUUUCUAUUUUUUACACUAUACAAAUGAGAAUGACCUUGGUGGUUUAAAACAUUCAUCCUCUCUGUUUCUAAUAAUACCUACAAUCAGUUGUGUGUAUUAAAAGCUUUGUUAAUAAUCUACAAGUGGUAGGUGACCUCAGCUAUUUUGUUCUGUGGUUUAAAGCAUGACCAAGAUUGUGUUUUUGUUUUCCCCAUUUUACAGCUAAAAAGUAUGAUGUUAAAAAUACUGACAAAAACGAGUUGUUGCUAUAAAUAUGUGAAUCGAAUGGGAAUUUUCUGGACUUUGUUAUUAUGAACACUGCACAGAGAAAAAGCCAAUGCAUCACACCAGAAUGUCAAUGGGAUGGGGUACUGAGCCAAAGGAAAAGGGCAAAGAGCCCACUUUGGUACACCUGGAGUAGAUUACACACAUGGGGUUGAUCUUUCCCUUGAAGCCAAAAAGCUCUGGUAAUGUGCUCUCCACAGUACAUGAUAGAGCAGGGUAAAGCUGGAAAUUAAUCACCCAGUGCUACCAAGGCAGUUCAUUACAUGCAAUUGACAGCUUCCUCUCUGUAUUUUUAGAUGGCUAAGAAUCAAGUAGUUGCACAUCAAAAUGUGGUUUUUUUCUUGCUUCUUGGCACAGGACCCGUAUCUGUCAUCAUUUCAUGUCCUCAAAGGCCUGAGAGGAGCUGCCAUCCUUGGGCAACAAAGGAUGCCAUGCAAAGCAGCUCAGAACUUGAGUUGUUUCAACAGAUGCUGUUUUAUGUUUUGCCAAAGAAUGGCCCCUUUUAUUUCUGUCAUGAAUGCAGUCUUUCUUUCAGUUUCUAAAUGUUUUCCAGUAUUAACCCUAAUCCUUAUCUGUCAUUCUUUUAGGAUGAUGGGCUGUCCCUUUUCCUUUGGAACCAGCAUAACCUUCACCAUGUAAAUAUGGAUUGCAAAGAAAUGGAAACGUGGUGCUGUUCACCUUACAGCUCCUGAUGAUUUCUUACAGUGGGGGAGAGGCGGAUUGCACUUCAAGGUCAGAGUAGCUGAGCCAAGUUAUUCCAGUAUGCGCCUUAAAGGAUGUCAAAGAAUUGAUCUGGUGGAUAAAGUAAUGAGGAGACAGUGGAAGUUCUCAUGCAAAGGAAAAACAAUUGUAAAGAUACAAAGGUAUGAGUGAAAUCAUUCAUUUUUCACUGAACGCUUACUUCAUGCUGGGACCUAAGCAACAACUGUGGCGACAAUGGACUUAUUGGUAAUUUACUAUGUGCAGACACUCUCCUCACCUUUUGACAGAGAACAUUGAUUAGAUGACCAAAAGUGCCCGGCCCUUUGCCAAGUGUGAUAGAAAACAGGGAGAAGGUAUCAUCACUGUUUCACAGAUGCCUACAUUCCAAAGGAUCUCAUCAGAGCAUAAGAGCUCUUCCAGGAAGCUGCAGAGAAUCUUCAGAAUAUUAAGGAAAACUGUAAUUGGAUUGAGAUGAACCCUUUGGCCCAAAGAUUUUAUCUGUCAGGUUAACAUAUGUGUUUCUAUGCCUGACUCUCAACCUUGGACCUGUACCUCUGCAAUCACUUGGCCCUGGAUGGAUGAGGGAGGGUGGCAUGUGAAUAGAAACUGGACCACGGAGACCACCAAGGAAUGAUGUGCCCUCGAGCAAGAGUCUCGCUCUAUUGCCCAGGUUGGAGUGCAGUGGCGUGAUCUCGGCUCCCUGCAGCCUCCGCCUACCGGCUUCAAGUGAUUCUCCUGCCUCAGCCUCCUGACUUUUUCUUUUUCUUUUCUUUCUUUCUUUCUUUUUUUUUUUUACAGUGGAUCCUGCAUUAGAAAACCACCAACUUAUUGUAACUUUUAAUUAAUUAUAAAAAGAUAACUUUGUCAUUGUUCAAUCUUAUAAAACAAUGAAACCAAGUAUAAACUAUUUAAGUAAAUUGCAUUUAUGGGAUUUCUCUUUUCAGAAUUGACUGUGGCUCCAUGGUUUGUUGUAAUUAAUUAAACCAUGUUCAUUUGGAGUUUUGAUCAAAUUAGCUAAAUAUAUUUAUUUUAUUCUAUAUUUGACCAAAAGUUUGUUAGUAUUAGCAUCAUCUAGAUUUUAGAGACAGUAAUAAAAACUGGUAAAAAUACUAAGUGGGAAAGUGUACUGCUGUAGCUUAUCAAUGUUAGAGCUUGAAAAUACCUAAAAAAUUGAACGCAAACAAGUAAACAAACAGAAAGAAAAAGCAAAAGCGCUAAAUCGAGACGUAUGCAUACAAGCAGUAUAAAUUACCAGAAAAAACACUAGGUCAAGGUAAGGGGGGCAUGAAUUCCUAUUCCAGCUUUGGAAUUCCCAUGUGGAUUUAGGUGAACUGCCCCUAAGCCUCAGUGCCCUUUAUUCAUAAAUAGAUUUAAUUGGGCCAAAACAAUUCUGUAGGAAGUACCAAUAGAAGGGAGUGUAUGUCCUGUGCACAUUUAAUUUUGAACUAUAGAAGCUCUAUUUUUGUAUGUUUUAUAUAUUCCUGUCUUGUGUACAGUUCAGUUUGGAGUAAAGUAAGUGUUCUCUGUUUAAGACUAUUAAUGUAUACAUAUUCCUCUCUAAGUAAUCACUGAGACAGGCUGGCCUCCUCUAAUACAUGAUUUAGGAUACUCAUCGUGUAGAGAAAUCCUCGUAUCUGGAAUAAUGUGGAGAAUAAGAGUAUGAAUAGUGAAAAUGAUUCAUUUAGUCAAAUAUUUAUUGGUAUCUACUAUAUGAUAGAAAACUGAGGUCAUAAAACAGCAAAUCUUAAAAGGAAGUUCUGGAUUGGAGUUAGGAAACCUAGAAUUCAGUUGGGUCUAACCACACUAGCCCUGUCACCUCAACAAGUCCAAUUUCUAGAGUUAGCUUAUAAUCUGAUUUUCUGAACAUAUACCUUGUCAAAUGUUGCUUUGGUUUCUAAAUAUCCACCUACUCAUUCCCUCUUAUGGCACCCCAAAUAUACUAAAACUUCCUUCCUUUUUUUUUUUUUUUUCUGAGCCAGAGUCUCGCUCUUUGCCCAGGCUAGAAUGCAGUGGCGUGAUUAUGACUCACUGUCACUUUUGAUCCUGGGCUCAAGCGAUCCUCCCACCUUGGCCUCCCAAAGUGUUGGAUUUUCAGGUGUGUGCCACCAAGCCUGGCCUCAGACUUACUUCUGAUAAUGUAACUCUGACUAUACUAAUUCGAUUUAAUUACUGUAUGAUUUUAGGUUUUAGUUUUCUAAAAACUCCUUUCCAGCAAAUUUUUUACUCCUCACUUGUGUUCGUUGCGUCUAUCAUUAAGGUAUUAUUGCUUUACUCCUAACAUGAGAAGCUCUCAGCUCCUUUAAAACACAACUUUGGGAGGGAAAUGCUUGCAUCCACUUGCAUCUACUUUUCCAUGAAUUACUUGAACAAGUAUUUGUCCAUGGCAGGAGGGAUUGAGCAUGGUGGGAUGGAUUUGCAGAGUGUCUAUUAAUAACAGUGAUGAAGGGACGAAAAGCGAAAAAGAGACUGACAAGUAAUGAUCACAAAAAGAGAAAAGAGAAAUUUCCAAGUAGAAAUACAACACAUGUUUCCUGACCUUCACAGAGGAAUUUAAGUUUAUGUCAUUAUAAAGCUCUGAAGAUAUUUCAAUGAUUAUGUUGGACAAAAUGGAGCUCUUAAAUAAUCAUACAGGUAUGUAGCAGUUGAUACUUAACAUUAAUAUAGUAUUAUAGAGUAUUAUAAAAGUUCAAAGCCUGAGGUCAUCUUUGCUAGAUGAUUUCUAUGUCAAUGAAAACUCAAAUGUAUAAGCCAAAAAGAUUGCAUGCACUGAGCUAUCAUCCUUCUCACAUUCUUAUAUUUAUAAAAACUUGUGCUAAAAUUUCAUUAUCACCAAUGUUUCUAUCCUAAUAAAAGAAAAAUAACACACACUAGAAAGAUACCCAUGCCAGUCAGUGGACAGGAAUACACUACGCAAUUUCAGGUCUCUAAGACCACAGAUCAAAAUACAUUACCCCACUUAAGGCAGACAACGGCAGGAGGACCUGACCUGGCCUGUGGUCCUAUCUACUCCCUUUUCUGUAGGUUUUUGUUCAUUCUAAAUAUAAGUGAUCAGUUCUUACAAGUUUAUAUUCAAAUAAGGGUUCAGAAGUAAAUGCAUCUAUUCAUUCAGUCAAGUAAAGUAAUCCAAUUUUCCUAGUGUAUGCACAUGUGUUAGUGGUUUGCUAAUAUAUAUAUAUAUAUUUUCUUUUUUAGAAAUACAUGUGCUGUGGCUUCAAGGGUGGAAAA